RNAcentral lists this unclassified non-coding RNA (348 nucleotides) under soil metagenome. Its description in RNAcentral is "partial contains 5.8S ribosomal RNA, internal transcribed spacer 2, and large subunit ribosomal RNA". The stretch from base 1 to 120 matches the Rfam family "5.8S ribosomal RNA", at positions 35 to 154 of the family's 154-position model. The record is from RNAcentral.
GAUGAAGAACGUAGCGAAAUGCGAUAAGUAAUGUGAAUUGCAGAAUUCAGUGAAUCAUCGAGUCUUUGAACGCACAUUGCGCCCCCUGGUAUUCCGGGGGGCAUGCCUGUCCGAGCGUCAUUGCUGCCCUCAAGCACGGCUUGUGUGUUGGGCCCCCGUCCCCGGUUUCCCCCGGGGACGGGCCCGAAAGGCAGCGGCGGCCCCGCGUCCGGUCCUCGAGCGUAUGGGGCUUUGUCACCCGCUCUGUAGGCCCGGCCGGCGCCAGCCGACACCCAACUUUAUUUCUAAGGUUGACCUCGGAUCAGGUAGGGAUACCCGCUGAACUUAAGCAUAUCAAUAAGCGGAGGA